CUUGUACACACCGCCCGUCACACCAUGGGAGCGGGUUCUGCCAGAAGUAAUUAGCCUAACCGCAAGGAGGGCGAUUACCACGGCAGGGUUCGUGACUGGGGUG
RNAcentral lists this ribosomal RNA (103 nucleotides) under uncultured bacterium. Its description in RNAcentral is "partial 16S ribosomal RNA". It matches the Rfam family "Bacterial small subunit ribosomal RNA", at positions 1380 to 1482 of the family's 1533-position model. The record is from RNAcentral.